RNAcentral lists this ribosomal RNA (1187 nucleotides) under Candidatus Phytoplasma cynodontis. RNAcentral describes it as "bacterial SSU rRNA". It matches the Rfam family "Bacterial small subunit ribosomal RNA", at positions 145 to 1365 of the family's 1533-position model. Lineage: Bacteria; Bacillati; Mycoplasmatota; Mollicutes; Acholeplasmatales; Acholeplasmataceae. The record is from RNAcentral.
GGGGGAUCGACGGCUCUUUUAUUUUUAGACGACCUUUUUCGAAGGUAUACUUAAAGAGGGGCUUGCGGCACAUUAGUUAGUUGGUAGGGUAAAAGCCUACCAAGACUAUGAUGUGUAGCUGGACUGAGAGGUUGAACAGCCACAUUGGGACUGAGACACGGCCCAAACUCCUACGGGAGGCAGCAGUAGGGAAUUUUCGGCAAUGGAGGAAACUCUGACCGAGCAACGCCGCGUGAACGAUGAAGUAUUUCGGUAUGUAAAGUUCUUUUAUUGAAGAAGAAAAAAUAGUGGAAAAACUAUCUUGACGAUAUUCAAUGAAUAAGCCCCGGCAAACUAUGUGCCAGCAGCCGCGGUAAUACAUAGGGGGCGAGCGUUAUCCGGAAUUAUUGGGCGUAAAGGGUGCGUAGGCGGUUUGGUAAGUCUAUAGUUUAAUUUCAGUGCUUAACACUGUUCUGCUAUAGAAACUAUCAGACUAGAGUGAGAUAGAGGCAAGUGGAAUUCCAUGUGUAGCGGUAAAAUGCGUAAAUAUAUGGAGGAACACCAGAGGCGUAGGCGGCUUGCUGGGUCUUUACUGACGCUGAGGCACGAAAGCGUGGGGAGCAAACAGGAUUAGAUACCCUGGUAGUCCACGCCGUAAACGAUGAGUACUAAGUGUCGGGGAAACUCGGUACUGAAGUUAACACAUUAAGUACUCCGCCUGAGUAGUACGUACGCAAGUAUGAAACUUAAAGGAAUUGACGGGACUCCGCACAAGCGGUGGAUCAUGUUGUUUAAUUCGAAGAUACACGAAAAACCUUACCAGGUCUUGACAUACUCUGCAAAGCUAUAGCAAUAUAGUGGAGGUUAUCAGGGAUACAGGUGGUGCAUGGUUGUCGUCAGCUCGUGUCGUGAGAUGUUAGGUUAAGUCCUAAAACGAGCGCAACCCUUGUCACUAGUUGCCAGCAUGUUAUGAUGGGCACUUUAGUGAGACUGCCAAUGAAAAAUUGGAGGAAGGUGAGGAUCACGUCAAAUCAUCAUGCCCCUUAUGAUCUGGGCUACAAACGUGAUACAAUGGCUGUUACAAAGAGUAGCUAAAACGCGAGUUUAUAGCCAAUCUCAUAAAAGCAGUCUCAGUUCGGAUUGAAGUCUGCAACUCGACUUCAUGAAGUUGGAAUCGCUAGUAAUCGCGAAUCAGCAUGUCGCCGUAG